Molecule: ribosomal RNA, 422 nt
Filed under: uncultured bacterium
Lineage: Bacteria
Description: bacterial SSU rRNA
Rfam family: Bacterial small subunit ribosomal RNA
Source: RNAcentral
UAAGGAAUAUUGGUCAAUGGAGGCAAGUCUGAACCAGCCAUGCCGCGUGGAGGAUGAAGGUCCUCUGGAUUGUAAACUUCUUUUAUCUGGGACGAAACACUCCUAUUCUUAGGGGCCUGACGGUACCAGAUGAAUAAGCACCGGCUAACUCCGUGCCAGCAGCCGCGGUAAUACGGAGGGUGCAAGCGUUAUCCGGAUUCACUGGGUUUAAAGGGUGCGUAGGUGGGUAUGUAAGUCAGUGGUGAAAUCCCCGAGCUUAACUUGGGAACUGCCGUUGAUACUAUAUAUCUUGAAUACCGUAGAGGUAAGCGGAAUAUGUCAUGUAGCGGUGAAAUGCUUAGAUAUGACAUGGAACACCAAUUGCGAAGGCAGCUUACUAUGCGGUGAUUGACACUGAGGCACGAAAGCGUGGGUAGCAAACA